RNAcentral lists this ribosomal RNA (262 nucleotides) under uncultured archaeon. RNAcentral's name for it is "partial 16S ribosomal RNA". It matches the Rfam family "Archaeal small subunit ribosomal RNA", at positions 748 to 1009 of the family's 1478-position model. The record is from RNAcentral.
CAGCCGUAAACUAUGCGCGUUAGGUGUAUCGGUGACCACGAGUCACCGAGGUGCCGAAGGGAAACCGUGAAACGUGCCGCCUGGGAAGUGCGGUCGCAAGGCUGAAACUUAAAGGAAUUGGCGGGGGGAGCACAACAACGGGUGGAGCCUGCGGUUUAAUUGGACUCAACGCCGGACAACUCACCGGGAACGACAGCAAUAUGUAGGCCAGGUUGAAGACCUUGCCUGAAUCGCUGAGAGGAGGUGCAUGGCGUAGACGUCU